GAUGAACGCUGGCGGCGUGCCUAAUACAUGCAAGUCGAGCGAACAGACGAGGAGCUUGCUCCUUUGACGUUAGCGGCGGACGGGUGAGUAACACGUAGGUAACCUACCUAUAAGACUGGGAUAACUUCGGGAAACCGGAGCUAAUACCGGAUAAUAUUUCGAACCGCAUGGUUCGAUAGUGAAAGGUGGCUUUGCUAUCACUUAUAGAUGGACCUGCGCCGUAUUAGCUAGUUGGUAAGGUAACGGCUUACCAAGGCAACGAUACGUAGCCGACCUGAGAGGGGGAUCGGCCACACUGGAACUGAGACACGGUCCAGACUCCUACGGGAGGCAGCAGUAGGGAAUCUUCCGCAAUGGGCGAAAGCCUGACGGAGCAACGCCGCGUGAGUGAUGAAGGUCUUCGGAUCGUAAAACUCUGUUAUUAGGGAAGAACAAACGUGUAAGUAACUGUGCACGUCUUGACGGUACCUAAUCAGAAAGCCACGGCUAACUACGUG
Molecule: ribosomal RNA, 497 nt
Filed under: uncultured bacterium
Lineage: Bacteria
Description: partial 16S ribosomal RNA
Rfam family: Bacterial small subunit ribosomal RNA
Source: RNAcentral